CCUACGGGUGGCUGCAGUCGAGAAUCUUCGGCAAUGGACGCAAGUCUGACCGAGCGACGCCGCGUGUGGGAUGAAGGCCUUCGGGUUGUAAACCACUGUCAGAGGGGAUGCAGAGCCUCAGAGGAAGCACGGGCUAAGUUCGUGCCAGCAGCCGCGGUAAUACGAACUGUGCGAACGUUAUUCGGAAUCACUGGGCUUAAAGGGUGCGUAGGCGGUUAUCUAAGUCAGGUGUGAAAUCUCUCGGCUCAACCGGGAAACUGCGCUUGAAACUGGAUGACUGGAGUGAUGCAGGGGUGUGUGGAACUUCCGGUGGAGCGGUGAAAUGUGUAGAUAUCGGAAGGAACGCCAGCAGCGAAAGCGGCACACUGGCAUUUCUGACGCUGAGGCACGAAAGCUAGGGGAGUGAACGGGAUUAGAUACCCUUGUAGUC
Molecule: ribosomal RNA, 430 nt
Filed under: uncultured bacterium
Lineage: Bacteria
Description: partial 16S ribosomal RNA
Rfam family: Bacterial small subunit ribosomal RNA
Source: RNAcentral